Etheostoma cragini (Arkansas darter) is the source of this 142-nucleotide long non-coding RNA. RefSeq lists it as uncharacterized. The transcript has 3 exons. The record is from RefSeq and is a predicted model, not a curated record. Lineage: Eukaryota; Metazoa; Chordata; Actinopteri; Perciformes; Percidae.
GGUUUUUAGUGUGUAGAACAUGGAACACACUCGCAGACUAGUCGCUUUUCAGCGGAAAUCACCGUUUUGAAUGGGGAAAUGUCAUCCACGUGAAUCAUGUAGAUCCAAAGAGUUUAUAUCGGGGGGGAUGCUAAAACGGCAC